GCCCCCGCCCCCGGCGCGCAGGGAGGCUCCCGGCCGGGGGCGGCGGUGGCGGGGGGAGGACUGAGGCUGGAAAGGUGCGUGCUCGGAUUGCCGGAGGGCCGGUCUCGACCCGUGCGUACGGAAAUGAAGCUGCCGUUUGUGACGAGCGUCUUAUGCCAAACCUUCAGGAUGUCUCAGGAUGUCCAGAGAUUUUUCCACGCCAGUUCUGCUAAUUGAGGGGGAAAAAAGGGUCAUUGCAAUUAUGUAAUGGCUCCCUCUAGCGUGCCAGAGAUACUGCUGCAUUUGGGCUUACAACAAUCCAUUGAUACCAACGACAUGCACGGAAUACUUAGAGGAAAAAUAAAAUCUGAAACACUAGCACUGGAUCUUCAAACCUCUGACUGACUGCCAGGUGAUGAUGAUAAAUGAAACUCUUAACUCCUUGCUCUACAAGUCACUUUGGUUUUGUGGUGUUAAGUUCAGCAGAGCUGCAUUUUAAUACUCAUUUUCAGAUUCCUCCUGUGUCUGAUGGUUACCCUGCAGAUAUGAGUGGCUGGCUGAGAGGGACAUGCUGCUGGGCCAGGCAGCAGCUGCCUGGAAAGUUACUCUCCAGGUAGGAUGAAGAUACUGUCUUUGAAACUUUUGACUUCCAAGUGCAGCUAGAAAUCAAGUUCCAGUUUCCUGAAGAGAAUAAGCCUGAACUGUCUCUAGUUGCUCUAACAUCAAGCCGGUAUCAAGAGGUUAGGAGCUACUGUCAUGCAUGAGGUGAGUCAUUUGCUGCUGAGAUCUUGAAAGAAAGAUUAGUCAUUAACACAUGUAUUUUUGGCAGUCCUGUAUCACAACCCAGAACUCUAGGAGAUAGAAUCUCAGCUUACUCAGCAGAAACUUCACUGCUCCCUGCAUACUCACUGUGGCUUUCCUCACAAGACAGAAUCAAUUGUGUUUGUUUAACAGACCAAAGCCUUCAGGCCAGCCCAAAUUGUCAGUGUCUCAGAGAAAUUCUUUGGAGUCAUCUUGCCAUGAACAUUUUAUCUUUUUUAGAGGUAGGGGACUUCUCCUCUUGUGAACAAGUCUUGUUGUUCCCUGAUUUGGAACAAGGUUCAAAAAGGGCAUAUGUUUCAAAGAGCUGCAGACUGUAGGCAAGUGGAUAAGCAAUAAAACCCUGCUUAUUCCCAUCCCAACAGCUGUUAACACUCGUUGAAGUCAGGCAGACACCCUACCCUAAGUGAUUUUUUUAGACUGCGUAUUAUGUUUCAUGCAAAGAUAGAGCAUUGCUACAAAACUUAGAAACAGUUUUCACUGCUAACUUGUGAGUAGAUGAUCACAGAAUCAUAGAAUGAUUUGGAUUGGAAGGGACCUUAAAGUUAAUCUGGUUCCAACUCAGGGGAGUUGGAACCCCACCGUCCCCUAGACCAGUUGCUCAAAGCCCCAUCCAACCUCCUGUGUUGCUCCUAAUCAGUUUGUAAAACCAGUUGCCCUUUUAUGUCUCUGUUUACAUUUCUUUCUUAUCCAUGUUUUUUCUUUAUCACAAUUUUUUGUGGUGCUUAUUUUCUCCUUCUUCCCAGAAUUAAAAUUUCACUAAGCAGUCCAGAGAAGGCCAGGGUAAGUGCCCACCAGAAAUACUGUAAAGAAAUAUUUUCAACCCAAGCAAGUAAAUAUUUUCCAGCCUCGAGGUUAUAUGAAUGUAUAGCUACUAAAAAUACUUUGUCAAACAUGGCAUGGAGUAGAAAAAAUUGAAUAAAAGAAACAUUUUAUUUGGACUCAAGUGUUGCGAUAUUUAAGACAUUCCUCAUUUUAGUUUGUUUUGUUCUAAAAUUGUCUAAUACAUUAUUUCACAAGCAUUAACAUAAAACUUUUAUUGGAAGCUACUAAUUACUCUUUUUGGAUAACCACAUGGGGCCUUAAUUAAAAAUUGCAAUCCAUUUCAAAAUGUACUUGCAUAUAAUGAAAACACAAUUCAAAUAUGUUGUAAGAUAACUGGGUUUUAUUACUUAAGCUUAAAGAAAUAUAUAUAUUUUCUAAAAAAAAGCUCAGAAAGCAGGAUAUUUCUUGAUCUUGCAGUUUUUUUCUGCUACCCAGCAGUGAAAACAAUAAUUAUUAUCAGUUCUUCAUGUUCUUAGGGUUGGCAUUGGUAUUUGUUUGCAUGAAGAAUGCAGCCACACAAAAGCACAGUAGCACUUUAGAGGAAGAGAGGCUGCCAAAGUCUCUGGUGAGGCUUGCCAAAAAACCACUCACAGUAGGGUGUCUCUACUAGCUUUGUCUGUGUCUAUGGGUCCUGCUCUUAAGGAUAAUCACCUGCUACUGAAUAGAACUAUUCAUUGAGGCUGAAGGAGUGUCUGAAACAGUCUCAAACCUUUCAAAAUUGCAAAGUUGCCAACACUCUCUUUUUCUCAGGAGUCUCCUGAUUCCUGAUUAACUUGGUCUUGGUUCCACCCAGCCUUGGAACUGGAGUCAGCUUAUAGCCAGACAGGUGAAAUUUGGGAUAGGUUGCCAUAUUCAUCUUAACAUCUAUCUGUGGAGGUAUGUCCUCAGUCUUUCAAUGAAUCUUAAAAAAAAAAGUCUUCACAGAAUAUUCAAUUCUGCUCAAGCUGUCAUCCUUUUUUUUUCAUUUUACAUGAGACAAGGUUAAUUGAGCCCAGAAUGAAAAAGGUGUGGGGAAGUCAGAUAUAUGUCACUCAGCUGAGAGUAAGUAGCUGGUUCCCAUGAAUAAAUUCUUGUUCUGGUGUGAAAGAAUUCAGAUGAAAAGAGAGAGAUGCUGAUUUUGAGAGCCUACACAGCUUGGGGGAAUAGACAGCAAUGGGAAUUAUUUUGAAAAGUGAUAAAUUGCAUUUCCUGUCUUUUGAACCAUAGGCUGGCAGUUAAACCAUUGGUAGUAAGGAGUUUUCCAAAUCUUGAAGCAAUUGAUGUGUCCUCCAUACAACAAUGGCCUAAAUCACCAAGCUCUGUGACCACCUGAGACACAAUCAACAAUUUGUCCUGCUGAGGAGAGGAAGUCAGAAAGUGGUUGUGUGGGCACCUGGCAGCCAACCAAGCAACAGUGAUGUAUUCCCUGGCUAUGUGGAGAUUGCAGUAGAGAGAGAAGUUCCCACCAGGGUAAACUGGAGAAGACCGUAUGCUGGGAAAGAAAUUCCAUCAGAGAAAAGUUCCCUUUGAUUACCAGUCUGAAACAAGCAUCUGUUUGGCAAGAGCAAGAAGAAACUAGGUAUCAAAAAGGAGGAAGGAAUUUAGAUGCACCCAGUGAUAUAGGGCACUAAGUGCCUUAGUCCAUAUUCACAAUUCUUUAAAUUCAUGCAAAUCUGCUUCACAGGUUCUUUGAGUAGUUGAAGGUGGGCAUACCCUGGCUUUCUAGCACUAAGCACAUUGACACUGAGGUCAGGGCUGAUCUUCCUUGUGACUGUUGCUUUUUUCCAGAAGUUUUUCAUGCAAGAUCCUUUUAGAUACUCAGUCAAGAGGAGAGGAAAUGACAGUAUACCCUACUACCAGCCUGGGUAAAUUGACACAUUAUACAGGUGUGUACAAUUAGUGCUGAAUAUUAGAUGCAGACACUGUCUGGAAUGGUCUGGGACUUCUCACCCUGCAGCAGAGCAUCCUAGACAUUUGGAUACAGAAACAUAUUCUGGUCUAAAAUAGUUUCUACUCUGCAUUAUUUGGAAAAAUGAAGAAUUCAUCUUUUCAGAAAGUAUAUUACAGAAUCCUAUUAGACAAUGUUGUUCUAUUUUCCUCCCUUCUAUCUUAUAAAGUUGUAAAAUAUUUAAUCUAAUAUUCAAUUUUUGUGGCAUGUCUUUUUUUGACUUAAGAGUUGCACAAAAUUCCUGAGAUGACGAGUGCUAUAAAGAACGUUUAUUUACUCCUUAUCCCAGCUCAGGGCCUGAGAGAGGGGAGCUCUGCAUUUCUCUGUAACAUGUUGAGACAAUGUACAGCCAAAGGAGAAUUCCAAACCGUGGAGUUUGAGCCAUUUCAAUGGUUCACUCUGUCAGCUGUUUGAGCAGUUUGCCCAGAUUUGUUAGAUUUCUUUGCUGUAGAAUCUAAAUCCUUUUACAGAUGGAGUAACAGGUUCCUUAAUCUUUUCACUGCAAAGAAGUAGCACUUUUUUAGAAAGAUAGAAUAGUAAUAGCUUGAUCUUUUCAAAGGCAAAGUAGCAGCGAAAACUUGAGUUUAAAUUAUUGGCAUUUCUACAACUGGAGGUAAUGGUAAGAUCAAUCAUGAUAGUCGAACAUCAGAAUUUAUGCAAUAUGUUUGAUGUUCUACACAUAAGCAUUGUGCACUGACAAAUACUAUGGAAACUACACACAUGACAUAAAGUGCUCUUUAUAGGAAAGGGUUUCAAUUUUUUUUCUUUUGUGAUACAGAAUAUAAAAAAUUACCAUUAAUUUAAUAAUUUUUCAGCCUGCUUAAAUGUUUUUCCCAUUUACUAUUAGACCUGCUAUCAAAAAGAGUUCUAGAUGAUAAAAACAUAUGUUCUGUUUUUAUAAGGAAUUCUUAAUUUAGAACAGCUUUUAAUUCUAACUAAUGUUGAAUUAAUACAAGUUUUUUAAAAAUUAUCUGAGAUAUGAUUUUUUCAAAUCAGUGAUAAAUAUUUGACUUUUUUUUUCUACCUUUUAUUAUUUUAUUUCUUCACAAGCCCCAAAAGUUAUUGAAGAUCAUCUGUAGUUGAAAAACACAAGCAGAAGCUUCUCCUUUUCUUUGUCCAUGCACAUCAACUCACUGCAUAGGAGUUUAUCCCCAGAUGAUUUUAUGAGUCCAUAGAUGAUUCCAUAUGACUGUCAUAUAUCUCUAUUAAGUGUUGAACUACUUAAUCUAGUUAGUAUUAUCAAUAAUUAGGAGUAUUUUUUAUGUGAAGUCUUUCCCACAUCCAUCAUGAUAUUGUUGAAUUAACUUAUUCAUCUCCCAUUCUGUUUUGUAUCAGCUUUUCAUAUUUGCUGAUUUAUUUUCUGAUUUUACUCUUCCCACUGCUCAUCAAAAAACGCAACGCUACAUUUUCAGUAAUAGCAGUGUUUGUCUGCAUUUAAGUGUUACUAUUUAUUGUGUUUGCCAUAAUUACUGUUGGAAGAUAAUCUUCAUUAAAGUUCUCAUUCCAAAAUUGCUAAACUUUCUUAUACAUUGAGGAGUGUAAUUUUCCAUGUAUAAUUUUCGUUAAAUGACCAUGCCUGGAUUUCCAGCAAUUCAGUGAAUACAAAGAAAAUAUGAACAUUAUAUAAAAGUAAAUUACUCAAAAGCUGGAAGAAAAGCAAGUAUAGUUUUAAGGAACUGCUCACUAGUAGAAAUUUACUAGAAAAAUUAUAUUCUUGAUCCAAUUUAUUUUCAAUAGAAAUUGUAACAUUAUGAGACCUUUUUAUUAAUGAUCAUUUAGAAAAGAAGAAACUAGCUUUGUAAGCACUGAAACAAAAUGAAAAAUAGAAAGUUUUCUGGGAUAUCACUGUAUACUUGUUUUAUUUCAGUAACCUGCUGUCAUCAAUUUCUUUUUAGGACUUUUUUUUCUUUAGAAUCACAUUUACUUUUUUCAUUUUAUAGUUCUCUUUUUCCUUGUUUGCCAACUUAUCUAAAUUUAACUGAAUCACAGAAUCAGAGUGAACAAAAGAAUUACCCUCUUCUGUCUCAGCUUGGACAGUAUCUGCAGCUGAUAUUAUAAAUGUGAAAGUGAAGCUUGUAAAGAGGAACUGGUUUUGUUUCCUGUAUAAAUAACAAGUAAGCUCACCAGUGGAAUUAAAAUCUUUAAGAGGAAAGUGCAAUUUUAAAUCAACACCGUUCAAUUGCAAUAGACUUUUCAGUACCUUUCUAUUAUAUUUUUGCCAAUAUUUUAAGCCAUAAAUCUUUCAGCUUUUGUUAUUUGAAUGUAAAUCCUCCACUAGGAAAAUAAUAUGAAAGCAUAUAAAAGAAGCAAGUGUCAAUAACUGCACAAAAUUAACAGAAUUAUAACUAAAGACUAUUUUCUCUAAAAACCUUUUUCUUUAGCAGACUUUCAGAUUUCCAAGUGGAAAAAAAGAAUAUGCCUUAGGUGUUUGUUUGACAUAAGUGAAAUUUACUGUGGAUAAUUAAUUAGAGAUACUGCACUACUGUCAAGAAAGAUCCUAAUAAUCAUAUUUUUUGUUUGCAUAGAAAAAUAAAGAUAUAUAUUUUAAGAUA
This is a long non-coding RNA of Corvus hawaiiensis (hawaiian crow), 6102 nucleotides long. RefSeq lists it as uncharacterized. The transcript is spliced from 9 exons. The record is from RefSeq and is a predicted model, not a curated record. Lineage: Eukaryota; Metazoa; Chordata; Aves; Passeriformes; Corvidae.